RNAcentral lists this ribosomal RNA (542 nucleotides) under Grosmannia serpens. Its description in RNAcentral is "LSU rRNA". It matches the Rfam family "Eukaryotic large subunit ribosomal RNA", at positions 44 to 591 of the family's 3401-position model. Lineage: Eukaryota; Fungi; Ascomycota; Sordariomycetes; Ophiostomatales; Ophiostomataceae. The record is from RNAcentral.
CAAUAAGCGGAGGAAAAGAAACCAACAGGGAUUGCCCCAGUAACGGCGAGUGAAGCGGCAACAGCUCAGAUUUGGAAUCUGGCCCCCAGGGCCCGAGUUGUAAUCUGGAGAGGAUGCUUCUGGCGCGGCGCCUUCCGAGUUCCCUGGAACGGGACGCCGGAGAGGGUGAGAGCCCCGUACGGUCGGACGCCUAGCCUUUGGUGAAGCUCCUUCGACGAGUCGAGUAGUUUGGGAAUGCUGCUCAAAAUGGGAGGUAAAUUUCUUCUAAAGCUAAAUAUUGGCCAGAGACCGAUAGCGCACAAGUAGAGUGAUCGAAAGAUGAAAAGCACUUUGAAAAGAGGGUUAAACAGUACGUGAAAUUGUUGAAAGGGAAGCGCCCGUGGCCAGACUUGUGCCCCGCGGACCACCCGGCGCCCUCAGCGCCGGUGCACUCCGCGGGGCGCAGGCCAGCAUCGGUUUUUCCAGGGGGACAAAGGCGGCGGGAACGUGGCUCCCUCGGGAGUGUUAUAGCCCGCCGCGCCAUGCCCCUGGGGGGACCGAGG